Molecule: long non-coding RNA, 738 nt
Filed under: Arabidopsis thaliana (thale cress)
Lineage: Eukaryota; Viridiplantae; Streptophyta; Magnoliopsida; Brassicales; Brassicaceae
Description: potential natural antisense gene, locus overlaps with AT1G07120 (AT1G07119)
Source: RNAcentral
CUCUCCUUCAGCGUUCAGAUCCUGAGAGUUUUAUUGAGCGCCAUUAAUUUCUUCUCUCUUUUGGGUUUUAAGCGCCAUGAAUUUCGAAAACCUCAAAUCACAAAACCGAUGGUGAUGAUAAAAAAUUCGACUGCCGAAGAGAAACUGGAAUCAGAGUCGUUUGUCACUCGUAUUAAUCCGAGGCAAAUCGAACCCCUUGAAGCAUAAGAUUUCCUUCUUUACCACUUCCAUUUGAUUCCAGCUCCUUCGCUAUUCGCUUCAUAUACUCCUGAGCUAGCCUCAGCGAGCUGUAUUUUAGCUGCAACAAGUCACCUACCUGUCCAAUCAGUCCUGUGUCGAGCAUCCACUCCCAAGGCGACAAAACUCCAUUCUGAUUGAUCUUGUUCCCCAUAUGAGACUCUCUCUUCGUCAGGGCACGAUAAAACUCUACGACUUCUGGAGCACGCCGCACAGAUCUUUUUCCAAGUGUUCUCUUUGAUGGAAGUGGUGGAGGUGGUGGCGGCUUUGUUGCUGUAGACUGACCUUGGAUCGUUGGCUUGGGAUUUGGAUUUCUGACCUCUUGACCCUUUGUGUUGGAUUUGACACUCUCUGGCGCUUUCAGCUUAUCGUUCCUCACUAGAUAGGCUUGAAGCUCCUUCACCAGACGCAGGAGAUCUGAAUCAUCUUCUCCAUUAGAUUAAGUUUGAAGAUCCUCUGAGUCCGCAAAUAAGUCACAGUCCCAGCCAUGGAUCGAUCCCU